UUUCCUUUAGCUCAGACUGUAAAGAAUCUGCCUGCAAUGCAGGAGACCUGGGUUUGAUCCCUGGGUGGAAAA
Molecule: transfer RNA, 72 nt
Filed under: Capra hircus (goat)
Lineage: Eukaryota; Metazoa; Chordata; Mammalia; Artiodactyla; Bovidae
Also listed under: 1 other name
Rfam family: tRNA
About the family: Transfer RNA (tRNA) molecules are approximately 80 nucleotides in length. Their secondary structure includes four short double-helical elements and three loops (D, anti-codon, and T loops).
Source: Rfam by way of RNAcentral